Long non-coding RNA from Silurus meridionalis, 503 nucleotides. RefSeq lists it as uncharacterized. The record is from RefSeq and is a predicted model, not a curated record. NCBI's taxonomy places the organism in Eukaryota, Metazoa, Chordata, Actinopteri, Siluriformes, Siluridae. The transcript has 3 exons.
AGACCACUUGAAACCCAGCCCACUUGAGAAUAUUGCAAUCAAUCACAAAGGUGAGAGUGAAAGAAACUUUGUGUGGAAGACUGAGACACAUGUUCGGAUUUUGAGGAAAGAUUCGAGUUUCCUCUCAAUGUGUGUGAACGAGUCCUCUCCGAGAUAAUCAGCAUCUCCCUGCUCCCAUUUCUGCUUCCUUUCCAGUGAGGAGGUUCGAGGAACUGGCGGAGGAACAUGCUCCUCCUGCUGUGCUGCCUCAGCAUGCACACUCUUCUGCUGAGAGCUUGCCAGUAGAGACCACAUGACAAUCCUUCUGAUUCAUCCUGAUUCCCUGAUAAUGUUCUGAUGAACUUCUGCUAAGUAUGGCUCCAAACAAAUGGACCUCCAAAUAGUACCACUUGAUAUUUGGGUGGAUGGUGAACAAACCCACUAACCAUAAUGAAGGUUUACUCAAAUAUCAAUGAUGGAACUGUAAUAAAUGGACCUUUGGUGUCACCUACUGUAGAUGAAAA